GAUGAAGAACGUAGCGAAAUGCGAUACCUAAUGUGAAUUGCAGAAUUCAGUGAAUCAUCGAAUCUUUGAACGCAUAUUGCGCUCUCUGGUAUUACGGAGAGCAUGCUUGUUUGAGUAUCAGUAAACACCUCAACUUCCAUAUCUUUUUUGAAAUGGGAGUUGGACUUGAGUGAUCCCAACGCUUUUCCUCACCGAAAAGUGGCGGGUUACUUGAAAUGCAGGUGCAGCUGGACUUUUCUCUGAGCUAUAAGCAUAUCUAUUUAGUCUGCCUAAAAAACAGAUUAUUACCUUUGCUGCAGCUAACAUAAAGGAGAUUAGUUCUUGUGCUGACUGAUGCAGGAUUCACAAAGACGGCUUCGGCCGACUUUGUAAACUCGAUCUCAAAUCAAGUAAGACUACCCGCUGAACUUAAGCAUAUCAAUAAGCGGAGGA
This 432-nucleotide unclassified non-coding RNA is filed under the name soil metagenome. Its description in RNAcentral is "partial contains 5.8S ribosomal RNA, internal transcribed spacer 2, and large subunit ribosomal RNA". The stretch from base 1 to 120 matches the Rfam family "5.8S ribosomal RNA", at positions 35 to 154 of the family's 154-position model. The record is from RNAcentral.